UUAGAUCUGCCCAUCCACGCUUUCCAUCGUGCUCAACCGAACCCACGCAUCAGCGCUGCGCUUCGCUGUUUUUCGCUCCUUCCUAACUCCACCUCCUCCGCCCACGUGACAGCUAACCCAAUGGCUCGCUCCCGCGCAGCGCCUCGUGCCAGCGGUGGCAGCAGCCACCACGCCGCCGCCUCACCGCCGCCGAAGAAGGCGGAGCCGCUGCACCAGUCGACACCCCACGCGCACCCGCAGCAGCCGAACGGCGUCACGAACAUCUACGUUCAGCGUCCGAUGGCCGGCGGUGGCGGUGGCGGCAUCCUCGGCACGAUGGCGGCCGUCGCCGGGGGCAGCGUGCUGGGCCACGGCAUCAGCAACUACCUCUACGGCCACAGCAACCAGGCGCCGACGCAGCCGGCAGAGGCGCAGCAGCUGGCGCAGGCCGCGCAGCAGGAGGGGCACGUCUGCACGCCGCAACUUGUGGGCUACUCCAAGUGCCUUGAGGCGAACCCCGAGUCCGCCGACAGCUGCAAGUGGGCGUGGGACUACUUCACGCAGUGCCAGAGAGAGCACCCGAUGCAGCCUCCGCAGUAGCAUUGAAAGGGACAUCCUGUAGGCGACUGUGAUGAAACCUCGUGAUGGUGGCGGGUGAUGGGGGGGGGGGGGGGGGCGGGGGUAAAGGAGGGGUUGGCACCCGCACGUGGGACUCUGUGUGCGUGUGCGUGUGUGUGUGUGUUAGCUUCGUCAUGCUGACACAGUUAAAGAAGACGAAAUCCGAGCACCGCCCCCUCCUCUUCUCCCUCGGGUACGAACGGCCCAAGCAUGCGCACGCGCCGCCGCCACCACCGCCGCCACCACCACCGCACCCCUAACGAGAAGGCACCCACAGAAGUAACGCAUAUCUACAGCAAAAGAAGGGAGAGGAAGGGGGGGCCACACACCCACGCACGAGCCAUACACAUAACGUGGACACUUACAUGUGUAUCAACGGUGCACCGCCACUACCACCCUCUCUCUAUCACUCGUCCCCCAUCCCCGGAACGACAUCACUGUAAGCCAGAGGAGGCACAGUGACGGAACAAAGAAGGGCGCCGAGAAUAUUCGCUGGACAUCCCUCCUUUACUGGUGUGUGUGUGUGUGUGUGUCUGUGUGUGUUUAAAGACCUGUUUUGUGGCUGUAUCGCCCCCUCGCCCACUCGCUCCGCCCCAUCCUGCGUGCCUGUAACCGUUGCCCUCGUUGUUGCUGCCCAUGUGCUUACCUGGGGGGAGGGGCGGGGCUAGAGGGCUUCUCUUGUUCGCUGUGUGUGUGUGUGUGUGCCUUACCUCUAUAACUAUAUAUAUUUAUAUCCUUGCGCAUGUUACCGCUCCAUUUAGGACGGAGGAAGGGCGGCAGCGGCAGCAGCAGCCCAUGCGUUUCCAUUCGUGUCUACCUAG
RNAcentral lists this unclassified non-coding RNA (1418 nucleotides) under Leishmania donovani. RNAcentral describes it as "gene:LdHU3.04.0890(CDS-product:hypothetical_prote in_conserved)". The record is from RNAcentral. Lineage: Eukaryota; Euglenozoa; Kinetoplastea; Trypanosomatida; Trypanosomatidae.